Molecule: transfer RNA, 85 nt
Filed under: Felis catus (domestic cat)
Lineage: Eukaryota; Metazoa; Chordata; Mammalia; Carnivora; Felidae
Rfam family: tRNA
About the family: Transfer RNA (tRNA) molecules are approximately 80 nucleotides in length.
Source: Rfam by way of RNAcentral
GCCUGGGUGGCUCAGUCAGUUGAGCGUCUGACUUCGGCUCAGGUCAUGAUCUCACACUCCGUGAGUUCAAGCCCCAUGUCGGGCU